Meriones unguiculatus (Mongolian gerbil) is the source of this 873-nucleotide long non-coding RNA. RefSeq lists it as uncharacterized. The transcript is spliced from 2 exons. NCBI's taxonomy places the organism in Eukaryota, Metazoa, Chordata, Mammalia, Rodentia, Muridae. The record is from RefSeq and is a predicted model, not a curated record.
CGUUUCCAGGUGAGCUCAGCGGGGGACACAUUCUAGAAAGGCCCUGCGGAACCCUGGGGAAGACGACCAGACCCUCGUAUUUCCACCCCGUGAACACGUCACAAUUUUUGAAGGGAUUUUCACAACCCUGGAGGGUAGAGAAGCCUGUCUCUUGCUGCUAUGACGUAUGUUCGAUCUUCUAAGCAGAGGGAGAAAUCUUGGUCUCUGCUCUGAGUGACUCAUCUUAACUUGAUGAUACCAUAAUUAAUAUAAAGCAACUGUGUAAACUGCUUCAAUUUGGUGACUAUAAAAGGCUUGGAGAAGGACUCCGCUGGUUGCUAGUGAACCCUCAGCUCUGAAGGUUUGAAGGAGUCGGGCAGAAAGAGAAACGGAGGAAGGGCACGCCACCACGAGACAGCACUGUGCACAAAAGCUGCCCGCUGGAUUCAGAGAACUGAAAACAGUUGAGGCCAGCAGGGGCACUUGGUGUGAGAGCCUGUGUCCACAGAGGAGAUGGUGGGUUUGGACUCUGACCCGCCUCGUGAGUCACUGUAGGAAACUUGGACUUCAUCCUGCAAUGCCCAAUGAGUUGACAGAACUAGCCCCGGGUUGUCAGCCCACAAGAAAAGGAUGCAGGAAUCGAAUGUUGUUGUACAACCAGAAUAAUAUUUAUAUCAGUGUGGGGCUUAGGCUUUACCGGCCAGAUGCAGUGCCCUUCUUUUUUUUUUUCUUUCUUUCUUUCUUUCUUCUUUCUAAUUAGAAAAAUGUAAGCAGUGUGUUUAACCUCAGCAAGCCUCAAGUUCCUCAUCAAUAAGACAGCGAUUGUGCUGGAUGCUAUGAGGAUUAAAUGAAACUGUGUAAGUAAAGCCCUUAGCCUUUCUUCAGGAGAGUCUA